UUGAGAAGCAGAUGCACCAUGUAUUCAUACAGUGGCAAAGUCAUACUUUUCUCUCCUAAGAAUUCUGAACUUUUGAUUUUCUUUUUAUUUGACUGCUGUUGAGCAAUGUGGUGAUAUAUUCACAGAACUAGCUAUUAAAACGUCAAGAUGCAUUUCCUAAAUUGUGCAAACAAGUUCAGAGCCCAUCACUGUGUAAAGUUAGCAUUGCUUUUCAUGGAUAGCCAGGUUAUAGUUGUCAGGGCUGAAAUUUAUUUUCCGCUUUAUCAUGAGGCUGCUCAGUGUCGUGAGAUCUUUAAAUUUUUGUUGUAAAUAUUACCCCAAUUAAUUUAGUUUUUAUCGGAAAUCUUCUUCAUUGUUCCACCUAUUUUCCAGAUCAGAUCACUUCUGAACACACUGGACACCAUAGACCUUAAUCCCCAUGGGAUUCCACUGAUGAUCAUCUUCCACUGUGAAAACUCAUCCUUUAGUUUUAUGUUAUUUUUUUCAAUAUUAAACUAUUAUUUAACUCUGUGAGGUCCUGACCUGUAGUCCCCAGCUAUUUAGUUUAUUUAGGAGCCUUUGGUGAGGCCUUCAGUGUCUGAGGCUUCUGGAAGCUUGGGGUGAGUCGGAAAUGCAGGGAAAAUUUCUCAGCUGGUUCUCCGUUAUUUACAUGCUUUUGACUCCUUCAAAGAAUUCCACCAGAUUUAGGAGGCUUAGAUUCGUUUUACAAAAGUCAUGUUUACUUUUCCUUAAUGUGUUACUUUUAUUCAUGCAUUCACUAAUUCUGUUCUUUACUAGAGCUUCAGCCAAUACGGCCAAUAUGGACACUAGACUUAGUGAUCUGCAGUUUCUGAAUUGUCACUGGAUUUAUUUUUAAAUACUGAUUUCUUAUUAGUUACCUUCCAGUCCUUUGAUAAUCACAGCAAUUUUCAGCAAAAGGUUACAUACUGAGGGUAUUAGCUCAGAUGAUUCAUAUUUAACAUUCUGUAAAAAUCUUCUAUGAGUAUCUUCUGCACCCAGUGAUGUGUUGUUAUUCAUUUUGUCUGGUUUGUAAUUUACUCUUAACAACCUUAAAUCAAGCCUUCUGUUAAUGCCUUAUAAACAAGAUGCUGGUUUCGGAGUUUCUCCGAGAUUCUCCAGGUGAACAGAGAUUUUUAAAAAAUAGAGUUUGGGAUUUUUUGCGAUUGCAUUAUCUUUUCUCAGUGCUUCUUUCAUACCUGUGUAGCUUGCUGGCUCUCACAGGCUUCUUGCUCUUGAUGUGUUCAAGACGGAUUUAUUACAUUAUUUUUUUUAUUUCUUUAGCAAACUGCUUCUAAACUCUUUCUUCAGUCUAUGUUAUUGUGCUUUUACAUUUAGUCUGCCAGAAUUUAUGUUCUUUUUAGUUUUCCUUUCUCAGACACAACUUCAGCUUUUUGCAGGAUACCUUUUAACUUCCAACAGCCUCCCUGAUCCUGCUGUUUUAUGAUGCUAGCUUUUUGUUUUUCUCUCAAGUGUUUUUUGACAGGUUAUAUGCAUUUGCUUUGAGCCUCCAAUAUAAAAUCCCAAAAUAGUCUACUUGCCAUCUGAAAACAUUUUACCUUUAUGGCUGCCACUCUGAGCGUUUUUUUUUUUUUUAACAAAUUUCCUCAUUUUUGAAUUCCCUUUCUCUGGAAUCCAGCAUAAUCACUGCAUUUGCCGGCAUUUCUUCAUUUCAGAGUAUUGAGUCACGAAUCAGAUAAAAGGAUUAAGGAUUUCGGCCUAGCCUAGUCUCUAGGAAGCCUGAAAAUAUCAGCCAUUAACAUUUCACUAAUGUUAAUUUCACUAAUUUCAUUAACUGAGAAACAGGGAAGGAAGUGGCUUGCCAGGGCUGGAGAUGGUGGGAAUUCCUGCCCUGGAACAUCAGCUUCUCUCUUCAGCCUACAACAGACAAAAUGACAGGUAAUUGGAAAAAAAAAAAGCAAUCGGGGCUGAUUUGUCACCACAUCACUGAAGUUUGAUACUGUAGAAGAAUAACGGAAAAUUGUCGAGGAGGAUUAUAAACACGGUCAAGUGACCUGCAUCUGAGGUGUAGAAAAACACAUAUAUCAUACUAAUUGUUGUUUAGCCUUGUGUGUUCGACAAGUAGAACAUCUGUGUUUCGAUAACAUAGGCCUGUGAUAGACUGAGACGCACCCGACUGAACAUUCUUGAGAUUCCUGCCCUGCUGUGGGAAAGAUCAAAGCACAGUGGAAGAGUAUGCCUGUGUGAAUCCCUGCAAUACAGGCAAAAAUAGCAGAUUUUGAGAUCUUCAAGCACGGAUUGAGUUCCGCGGUGCCCUUGUCCCCAUUUGUGUGCCUCCACCCAGGUGCUGCUUUGGGCAUCCCCUGGUUGGCAAGGUAACAAAAAUAAAUUUCCUCUUUGCAUUUCAUCCAUAGUUUUGUGGUUAUGCCUGCAUCCUGCCUGUGCCAGCUCACACAGACUAACUAGCUGGAGUGGUUUUGGGCAGAGCCCAUCUACGCUGUGCCGGUGGGAACCAGAGCAAGGUAACGGAGUGAUGAUGACAGCGUCCAGUUCUCACAUUGCCGGACACAGGAGUGAUCUGGUAUGCCGAGAAGUCUAGAAGGAUGGUGUGCAAAUGCAAGUAGUGCUUCCCUGUGAUAACGCUAGAGAAUUGAGAGUUUAGACUACUUUAUGACUUCAGUUUGCAUAUAACAAAAUCUAGGGUAAGGUCUGACCGAAAAAGGACUGAGAACGCACUCAGUAGAAGCUGGUUUGGUAGCUGAUUCUUUUUGGUUCUCUCCAAUUACAGACUGCUCCUUACAGUAAGUAGUAGGUGCUUACAAACAGCUCCAAAGCUGCUCUGAAACUGGUGGGGAUAAGCAGUCUUUGCCAAGCAGGUGCUGCACCUCAGCGUGUGACUAAAGCUUGCUUACCAGUGAAAAACGUUGACUCUGAGGUUGAGAGGCAUUGCCACUCAGCUGCUGCAAAGUGCGAGUACAGCCAGGGUGAACCAAACAACACCAGUUACAGUGCAACUGCUGACUAGCAUGGACUGCUUAGCAACAGUGAGAGUGAUAUGGAUACAGAUGAAUUGACUGUUUUCUGAGCAAGCUGGGUAGGAACAGAAGUAAUUAGCUGCUAGCUGAUGAAAAGGCAUGCUUAAUUAUUAGUAUAAUUAUAGAUAUAAUAGACCAGGAAUUAUUCAGUAAAAGUAAGAAAGCCAAUAUGUUACAAAGAAGGUAAUCAGAAUGGAAGAGAAAAUAACAGCAGUGUGAAUUCUUGAGAAGAAAUGGAAAGAAUUAAGAUGAUAAAUCUGGAAUCUUUUGGGUUUCCACUCUCUGACAUAUCAACUCAAUUUAACAAUGGUGUAAGGGUAUUCAAAGCCAACCAGGUUUGUGGCUGGUAUUAUUUCUGGUUCUAUAUAAGGUUGAUUUAACUGAUUGUAUGCCAAUGAAAUUGAGCUGUAUUUUCAUAAAUCUCAGAACCUGCACAACUUCACAAGGAUCUUUGUUCUCCUUCCAGCAAUACUACAACACAACCAUUUAAUUUGAUGGAUCUUGUGGGAAGCUCAGCUAUAGCUGAUUCUGAUCAAUAUUGGUAAUUGAUUAUGAUUCUUCGAUAAGGCAGCACUGCUUUCCCUUGGCACCCUGUGAAGUAAUUGUGACUAAGAAGCAGUCGCGUUAGUCAGCUGCCCUGCCUUGGCCACUGCAUCUUAAAAUGUUCUCCAUUCCCGCUGGGGAGAUGGCUGGGGAUAACAGACUGAACUGCACUAACAGAGACAUUAGGAUAUAUGUUGUUAAUAUAGGAUGUGUAAUCACUGAAAUGGGUAAUCUGGGGAAGAUUUUAAGUACAUCUCUUCUGAUGUCAGAAUGGACAGAGGUAGUGCUGGUCCUGCUUUUGUUCCAGGAAUCGGACUGGAUGCUAAUGGCAGCAGCAGUGAUCCGGUGUCUUCUGUAAGAAUCUGGAACUGAGAGGCCCAAGAUGUUUACAGUUUUUUCUAAAACUGUAGUAACUGUUAAAUUAUGGCAGUGGGAUGGGAGACUCUGGCACCACCAGGUCUAAUCUAGAUUCUUUGAGUCUGAUAGUAGUGGUGCCAAAUGAUUACAAACGCUUUUGCCCGUUGUGCUGGUUAGAAAGGAAAAUAAAGAUGCAAAGAUUUUACUGAAUUACUGUUUGAGGACUAAUUAUUAAAAUGGCUUUUGAUUAAUGAGUUGCGAGUCAAGCUGGUUUGGCAAAUAGCAUUUUGAUAAGGUAUUUGUAAGACAGAUAGUCUUAAAAUGAUAAGAUUAACGUAAAACACUAGCCUCAAUGAUGGUGUUAAUGCAGAAAUGAUGUAAAUGUGCAUGAGCAAUUACUGUAUGAAGUCACUGGGGUACAUCAGGACAAAUUGAAUACAGACAAACUCUAAUCAGCAUCAGCUGAGCACAGAAUCAUUGAAAAGUGAAGCUGGAAGAAAUAUUAGCUGGUCACUUAGUCUGUCUCCUCUUUCCACAGCAGAAUCAGAUCUGCUUGCGACAUUCUUGGCAUAGGCAGAACUGUUGUUUUUCUUCCAUUUUGUAGCAGACUUUUUUUCUGCUAUUGGCCUGCUACUGCGCCGAUCCUGACUCUGUCAGGACUGUUACUGCAUCUCUCCAUGGUCUUCUCUCUUUUGAGCACCUCCUGGUCUUAGUCUCUUGAUUCAGGUCAUGUUUUCCAGACCUCUAGCUGUUAUUGUUAUUCUUGCUGCUUAGCCUGUCAGCCUUUCUUGAGGAGCAGUACCCAAGACUGGAUGUGCCUCUGCACUGAGGUGUUACUAAUACUGAGUACAGCAAAAGGAUCUGCAAGGUGUCUUGCAGUGAACCAUUGGAAACUACUCUCAGAGUGCAGAUUCCAAACAGAUUUGUGUCAUGACUUCAGCCAGAGCAGUGCUGCACUCAUGAAUGUUGUGUGGGACAAUGUCAGGAGCCUUGGUGACAUUGAGAUUAGAAGCUCUGGCCUCAAACUGCUCUGGGUGUGUGCUGUGAGAGCCCUGUGGGCAAUGAAGACAGUAGCUGAAGCAAUUACUGAAGCAUUAGUGACUACCCUGGAAGCUCUUGGAAGGCAGGCAAGAUCACUGAGCACUAUAGAAAGACACCAGGCCACUGAAGGGGAUGAGGAUACCAGAAUGCUGUCUUCUUCAGAAGCAGUACCUGGGGAAGAGCUCAGUCCACGCAGGGCUCCUUCCAUCUGGAGAGGCAUCCUGAUACAUCAGCAGGGCCAGAGGUAAGGCAAGCACUAAAAGAGGGGUUUAUAAAUUCAGGUGGAAAAUCUGCCCUCUCUUUCAAAAGCUGUUCAUGCUCUCCAGACUCUCGUAUACAUUGUGCUUCAUCACCAUAUGUCAGAGAUCCACAUUCCUCUGCCAGAGCUGUUCUCUCUUGUUCUCACACCACUAUGCUGUCUCUGGAUGGAGUAUAUAGUCAGGUAAACAUGCAGAAUACAAGCAUGUAGAGAUACAUGCAUGCAGUUACACCUACAUGGACUAACAAAGCCCUGCUGUGGUGCUGUAUCCUCUCCCUCUCCUCACAUGUGUUUUCUUUGGACUGUAAGUUUCAGUGACUGUAGGCUAUUAACUGACAAUUCAGAAGAUGAUCCAGGGAAAGAAUAUGUUUAUCCUAUGCUGUAAGGUUUUUCUAUAGCACCCACUACAGGUCACAAGAUGUGAGCAGAGAGAGUUCAUGGCCUUUUGAUUUGUCUGAGUAGGAGGGUUUUUGUGUUCUUUGUACCUUAAAGCCCAGUGGUUUUCUUUUCUCAUAACUACAGUUACAGCACUUUCAAUCUGAAGGGCUUUUCCUUAGUGAACCUUUCUCUUGUACUCGCACCACUGUAUCUCUUCAUUUUCAUUAUUAGCAGAUGGAGCAUGAGUCCCAGUUCUUUCCUUCCAUCCUUCCUGCCAAGAGAUCUCUGGUGCCUAGGCACAUUUUGUGGAUACUUAAUCUUGCGCUACUUUUCUUCCAGUGAUUUUGAUUAAUUUUAUCCAUGUACAUAAAAUUAUUUUGUGAGUGACACUUUCCAUUAAAAAAAUUAUGUUGAAAGUUAGGUUUACUAACCUGAUUCCAGUGAAAACAUUUCACGCUCCCUUUUUUUCAAAUUUGAACUUCAUUAUUAUUUGCCUGUAAUCCGCUUUUAAUUGUAAGUACCCAGCAUUCUGCGAGUUCACGCAGCACCAAAUGACACAAGGUUGCUCUGGAGUGCUCCAGCGAGUGUCUUCCGGGGAAUAUUGAAAUUCCAUGGAAACAACAUGAGAACCAUUAUCUGAAACAGCCUCUUCAGGCAAACCAUAUGGGGUGAAAUAUUCUGCACUGCUUCGAUAAUCCGAGCACAGAUAUGUUCACUGGUAACUCUGCGGUAAGCAUCAGUCAUUUGCUUUGUCUGUGCAGUAUUAAUGAGCCAUUUCAAUAGACAGCAGGUUUUGACUAUAUUUGCUGCAUAUUCAUGUUGCUUCCUUCAAGUUGUUUCAAAACUCUUUCCACUAGAUUAACUGGAAAGUCUCAGUUAUUCUGUCAAGUGCUGGGGUACUGAAGAUAUGGACCAUCCUGUCCUUUCCAGUCUUGGCUGAAGAACAGGACUAGUGUUUGGAAGAGAGAUGGUGUACUAGACGCGCUGCCUGUGCCAAGCCUUCCUCCAGCAGAGAGGUUUUGCUGCUGCUUCCAGCACUGUUUGCUGGGACUACUUCUUUCUAUGAACGUAAAACCUCCUUAUUGCUUUCUGGUUCAUCUGUCAUACAGGGGUUGUGGUUGUUAGCAGGCAAUGGAGCCUUAAGACACUUUUUGCAGAUGGGCACACAUUAUUAUGGUGGAGGAGUGAGAAUAUGCAGAGCUCAGGAUAGGGAGCACAGAGGGAAGAGUUGUACGUUUUGACUAGGCUGAUUUGUGCUGUGCCCGUAAGCAUCUCUCUGUGCUGCUGUUGUCAUAUGGUUAGGGGAGCCGAAACACUCCAGACAUUGGUCUAGGUACCUACAGAGCCUCCCCGUGCAUGAAUAUGACAUUUUCCAUGGGGCAUAAAAACAUUCAUGCACAAGUUUUGAAAACCAUAGUGCAUGCAGAAGCCUCUGAGGGAUGCACUGAAGGCCGAACAGAGGGCUCUGGUCAGUACUGAAAGCCACAUGGAAAGCUUCAGGGAGCAUCAAAAGUCACUUGAAAUUUAAAAAAUACUUUAAAUUACUCCAUUUUCUCUUUGUGAGCAUUCAGAAACACAGUCCUUCUUUAAUCUUAGUGCCCAGUUCUGAUAGCUAUAUGGAGCUUAACCUGAACAGCAGCUUAAAAAAAGAAAAUAUAAAUAGAUUAGUGAGGUUACUUACAGGUCUUUCUACGGAAAGACACACCACAAAUCUUGAACUAACCACUUCCCAAGCAAGGGAACUCACAUAUAUAAACAGAACCACAAGGAUAAUUAAAAGAGAUUGGAGGUUGCCAGCACCAAACUAGAUUGGCUGAAAUGUUGGUAGAUGUGGAGGUGGGAAAAAAAGUUUUUUUUUUUAAUUUCAGUGCUCUAUUUUAUUCUACAUCUGUUUUACCAAAAAAGAGUAGAAAGUGAGCAUGUGAUUUCUCCAGGAGGACGGAGCCAGCAGUGCUGUGGAUGAGGAGAGGCGAAGGAUGACAGCCGAGGGCUGGAGGCAGCAGCCACAUCCUCGAGCCGAGUUUGUGAUUGUGCCAGGGCUGCUGGGGGAAGAGCUGGGCUGGCUGAGUGCUGCUGUGCCCCUGGAGCAGGUGGAAGAGCUACAGGCCUUGCUGUCUGGCUCCUUUUCUCACAUCAGUCGAGAUCCUGAGAUCCUACUGCCCCUCGAGCAGCAGAGGCCAUGCUGUUUUGCUGCAGUGAAGCGUCAGAAAUCCCUGGUGAGGAGUGCAGCCCUGACAAUAUGGGGAGCAAGGAAGGAUGUGGAUGCGGGAGGAUGUGUUGGGUAGUCAUUACUAAGAAUAACUGCUAUUUCACCUCUUGCCAGCCUUCCACCAGCUGCUUGGGGCCACCAUUUCAGACUUCAGCUUAAGCUGCAAAGAGUAAGUGACCUUGUUUUCCAGAGACCCUGUCUGAAGGAGCAGAAACUGGAGUGUGCCUUCAUUUACCCCUUAAGGAGCUGCCACCAGAGGAAAGGGCCUGUGUUUGCCAGCUCUCUGCAGCCCUUGCCGGGGAGCCACGCCACAGGAAGUGCUGAGCAGGAAUCGAGCGUUAUAGCAACAUGCUGGGUCGGUUUUGCUCUUGGAAAUAAAAAGUAGAACAAGCCACAGCUGAGACAAGUGCUGUGAAAGUGGGAUCUGUACCGGGCAGGAUGUAGGCUCCAGGGGGGUCACAGCAGAGGGGACCGCAUCCACAGGAGAUGCCCGGAGCCACUGGCCACAGCGUGCUGACAGCUGAGAAGGAUUCCUAUAUUUGUCCUUUUGCCUCCAUGCAUCGGCAUCCAGAUUUCAGAUGAAUUUCACGGUGUAUAAGCAUCCCAGGAGAAUUUCCUUCUUGUUCGCGCUACGGAAGAGAAACGCUCCCAUUUCCACUCGGAUCUCACAAUGGCUUGUCAGUGACAAAACAUUCCCAAAUCCUCUCAUUUAUCAAAUGGCCAAUCCUGUUAACAGCUUAAGAAACAUAAUUACCUGCAAUCUCGUCUGCGAUUCAUUUUAUGCCUCCACUUCCCUCUCUCUGGCAGCUUACCAGGAGGCAAGUCAAGAGCUGAAGCGCGGCUGCAGCCACCAAGUGCUUCAGCAAUGCAAUUUCCUCUCAUCACCCGCAUGAUGAUCACAGGGGUUUUGCCGCCCUGUUUGUAGCAGCAAGAAGCAGCGCCUCUGCAACUUGUGAGAGACUUCACCACGGCUCGUUUGGCUCAAAUCUCAGGGAGGACUUGGAAGAGCGAUGUUUGCAGGCUGGAGAUCUGCUGGCUUCCUAAAUGUUGCUUAUGUACAGGACGGCCUGAUCUGAAGAGAAGCCCUAGGACCACCAUAUCUUCCCCUGGAGUUGGGGACUAGAAAAUUCCCAGGUCUGUCCUACCCAUGCCGGCUACUGAGGAAGCUGCCUUUUGUGCCUUAAAAUCUUGUACUAGCCUGGCAUUACCAUUGUGCAUUUAACUGGCCGAGACAUGUUUCUGUCUACACACUCUGUUCAGACCAACCUUCAGUUUGGAAGGAUUUUUCUUAUGCCUACUCCUCUCCUCUUUUCAACCAUAUCAGCUCUUUUGGAUCCUUUGUGUUUUGUAUAAAUGAUACACAUUUCUUCUGACACUUCCAUGUGUUAUUUUUAAGCAGUUUUUUUUAUGCUGCUUGCCAAUUUUUAUCCUUACAAUUCUUUGAAUUUUGUAUUAAAAACCACUAUGAACAAAUCAGAAGGUCCUUUUUUAAAGUCAGGCAUCAUCUUAAGGGAUUUGGGGCUUUUUGAUCCUGCUAAGAUUCCGAAUUCAAGUAUAUUUUGGUCACUAUUACAGAGUAACCCUUUCUUGAUACCAAUGUGAACAUCAAAUGCCAAAUUUGGCCAGAACUGUCUAAAGAACUGCUUUUCCCAUUGAAAACAGCUAAGCUCACCUCUGCAGUGACUGAAUUUUGGUAUGGCCCGAACACUACCCAGACCCAGACACCAAAAUGCCUGGGUGGCUCUGGGCUACCUGCCCAGAGCUGUGCGGUGCUCGGGAACAGCAAGGAGGUGGACAAGAAACUAUUCAAAUCCUGAGGAGGGACUGAAGCAAGUUGGAUUCUUGUGUUUAACAAGAUAUAAUACAUGCAUAGGGAAAUUAAGAACUGCAGCUGAAUAAACUGUACUUAAACAACGUGAAAACUACCCCAAUAAUAACAAUAAAAAAAAAGUAGGACAGCUGUGUCUUUAUACAAGAACUUGCUUUUUCUUUUAUGACAUUUAUUUCAAAUCAUGCAAACCCUUCAGAGCAGCUUUAAUGCCCAGUGGAGUUCUCCAACCUAAAUGUCUUGUCGUCAGUGGGAAGCAACAAAGAUAAUGUAAUUUGAAUGCUGGAUGCAACAACGUAGGCUGCUCUUGAGGCUGAUUCUCCCUGCUCCAACUGGGAAUGAUGGCUCCAAACAGACUCACCAAAACAGACUGAAAAGCAGACAUCUCAUUUGUGAGGAAAUGGCCAAUAGCUCAGCUUUUUUCCCCCCAUUUGUUUCUUCCUGGAAAGAAAAAACCAAAACAGUUGCAUAAAAUUUCUGCUAU
Molecule: RNA transcript, 10092 nt
Organism: Tyto alba (common barn owl)
Lineage: Eukaryota; Metazoa; Chordata; Aves; Strigiformes; Tytonidae
Exons: 10
Source: RefSeq, a predicted model, not a curated record